GGGCCCGUAGUCUAGUGGCUAUGACGUUGCCUCGACAUGGCAAAGGUCAAGGGUUCAAGUCCCUUCGGGCCCACCA
RNAcentral lists this transfer RNA (76 nucleotides) under Candidatus Woesearchaeota archaeon. RNAcentral describes it as "tRNA-Val". It matches the Rfam family "tRNA". From Rfam's summary of the family: Transfer RNA (tRNA) molecules are approximately 80 nucleotides in length. The record is from RNAcentral. Lineage: Archaea; Nanobdellati; Candidatus Woesearchaeota.